This 490-nucleotide ribosomal RNA is filed under the name uncultured bacterium. RNAcentral's name for it is "partial 16S ribosomal RNA". It matches the Rfam family "Bacterial small subunit ribosomal RNA", at positions 29 to 507 of the family's 1533-position model. The record is from RNAcentral.
AAUGAACGCUGGCGGCAUGCCUUACACAUGGAAGUCGAACGGCAGCAUGACCUAGCUUGCUAGGUUGAUGGCGAGUGGCGAACGGGUGAGUAAUGCAUCGGAACGUGCCUUUUAGUGGGGGAUAACGUAGCGAAAGUUACGCUAAUACCGCAUAUUCUCUGAGGAGGAAAGCAGGGGGCCUUCGGGCCUUGCGCUAGAAGAGCGGCCGAUGUCGGAUUAGCUAGUUGGUGAGGUAAAGGCUCACCAAGGCAACGAUCCGUAGCGGGUCUGAGAGGAUGAUCCGCCACACUGGGACUGAGACACGGCCCAGACUCCUACGGGAGGCAGCAGUGGGGAAUUUUGGACAAUGGGCGCAAGCCUGAUCCAGCCAUGCCGCGUGAGUGAAGAAGGCCUUCGGGUUGUAAAGCUCUUUCGGCUGGGAAGAAAUCGCACUCUCUAAUACAGGGUGUGGAUGACGGUACCAGCAUAAGAAGCACCGGCUAACUACGUG